Acanthaster planci (crown-of-thorns starfish) is the source of this 1130-nucleotide long non-coding RNA. The record is from RefSeq and is a predicted model, not a curated record. NCBI's taxonomy places the organism in Eukaryota, Metazoa, Echinodermata, Asteroidea, Valvatida, Acanthasteridae.
UUCCAAGGCCACGGUUAAUCAUGGUUAAUCUGUCCAUUCCAAGCAACUGCAAGCUUAAUUUUUUGCCCCGCCAUGAACACAGUGAUGCACCCUUCACUGCUCUUCAUGCCCUUGUGAGUUGCAUCAUGCAUGCACCGCGUGGGUUCACUCGGGCCACGCGUAUGUACGGGGUCGGCGCAGACCUCGUGGUGGCACACACGUGGACCACUGGGUAUUGGCGUCGAAAUUUACGAAAUUCUAUCUAUCGUACCUUGUUUCUGUACUGUCAUGACUGUAGGCUCCCUGCUUUGUCAUUCGAAACAUUUUUGUUCUAGAUGGGGAAAGCUUGCUUGUCAGCCUAUACUUGUCUGCUUGUGAGAAUCUGAGAUGAUGUUUGUUAGAGAUUGGCACAUAAAUGGCAGACUGGGUGACUGUCAUGGACUUCGUUUGAUUUGGGAGAAUUUGGGGCCAGGCCUACUUUUUUUGGUAUCUGGACAUCUCGUACCCAAGACAACUCGCGCCCGCGACAUCUCGUAUCCAAAAUUUCACAACCGGGACAACUCGUACAGAGGACAUGUCGUACCCGGGAUGACACUUCGUACCCGGAAAACUGUGACCUGCUGAGGCUAAGUGAGGUUGGGAAGAUUGAAACUUUUUUGGUUACUCCUGUUAACAUGAGUAAGAUGCGUGUGCAUUACGCUCGGGUACAGGAGUAAUAACCCCCUCUAGUGAGAGUAUACUCUUGCUGACCCUUGGGUUGUACUCCAGCCAUUGAAUCUUGGAUAGUGUUUGACUGUUUUUGUUUGCUAGGCCUGCAUCCUUUUUAAAAAUUGGAGGGGGGAUAGUAUUGGGUGGCUGAUUGAACUGUCUCUCAAACACAGUAUGUGGUGGCAGUAUGCUUCCACCAGUGAGGUAGAAAUGUCUUACGAGUAAGACAGUGGGCGGCAGCACGUUCAGACACUGUAAGACAUCCGAGGUAGUGCGGUAUAAAACGAAAGGUGGUGCGGUAUCUGAGUUUACGAAAUUACUAGGUGGUGCGGUAUCUGAGUUUACGAAAUUACAAGGUGGUGCGGUACCUGCGUUUAUGAAAUUACAAGGUGGUGCGGUACCUGCGUUUAUGAAAUUACAAGGUGGUGCGGUACCUGCGUUUA